GACGUGUAAUUUCAAAAUGUAUGACCAAGUGGCAUGCAAAUGGAAGCUCAUUGAAAGACUGUAUCAAAGAGGGUGAAAAUCCUUAUUUUCCACUUGCAUUGCUAUUGUUAUGGUGUAUGCUUCAUGAGUCACAUUCCUUGGCAUUGGAAUGCCACAUGUGUGGUAAAUUUCAUACAAAGAUCAAUAUGUGGUUGAGAUUGAUAGAACACAAGUACCAUGAGGGAAAUAUGAAAAGGACUUUGAAAAGAGAUUUAAAAGAGUUUGCAGUUGCUGAACAAAAAACAAAUGGGAUGUCCUGUAUUGAACAGAUUGUUGUGCCAUGCAUUGUAUCAGUGCAACCAUGUGUGUAAUCAAUGAGUCUUGUCUUUGAGUGCCAUGCCAAGUUUAGGUAAUCUUGACCGAUGCAUAUGUGUGCUGGUGUGCUUGUGAAUGCAUGAAAGUGUAUGAUUGACCUUGGUUUUCUAAAUG
This 468-nucleotide ribosomal RNA is filed under the name Coolia canariensis. RNAcentral's name for it is "LSU rRNA". It matches the Rfam family "Eukaryotic large subunit ribosomal RNA", at positions 140 to 609 of the family's 3401-position model. The record is from RNAcentral. Lineage: Eukaryota; Dinophyceae; Peridiniales; Ostreopsidaceae.